UACGGAGGAUCCGAGCGUUAUCCGGAAUCAUUGGGUUUAAAGGGUCCGUAGGUGGGCCGGUCAGUCAGAGGUGAAAUCCCACGGCUCAACCGUGGAACUGCCUUUGAUACUGCCGGUCUUGAAUCGUUGUGAAGUGGCUGGAAUAUGUAGUGUAGCGGUGAAAUGCAUAGAUAUUACAUAGAACACCGAUUGCGAAGGCAGGUCACUAACAGCGCAUUGACACUGAUGGACGAAAGCGUAGGUAGCGAACGGG
This 253-nucleotide ribosomal RNA is filed under the name uncultured bacterium. RNAcentral describes it as "partial 16S ribosomal RNA". It matches the Rfam family "Bacterial small subunit ribosomal RNA", at positions 524 to 776 of the family's 1533-position model. The record is from RNAcentral.